UACAGAGGGUGCAAGCGUUAAUCGGAAUUACUGGGCGUAAAGCGUGCGUAGACGGUUACGUAAGUCGGAUGUGAAAGCCCCGGGCUCAACCCGGGAAUUGCACUCGAGACUGCGUAGCUAGGGUGCGGAAGAGGGAAGCGGAAUUUCCGGUGUAGCGGUGAAAUGCGUAGAUAUCGGAAGGAACAUCAGUGGCGAAAGCGGCUUCCUGGUCCAGCACCGACGUUCAGGCACGAAAGCGUGGGGAGCAAACAGG
This 253-nucleotide ribosomal RNA is filed under the name uncultured bacterium. Its description in RNAcentral is "partial 16S ribosomal RNA". It matches the Rfam family "Bacterial small subunit ribosomal RNA", at positions 524 to 776 of the family's 1533-position model. The record is from RNAcentral.